Molecule: non-coding RNA, 121 nt
Organism: Picea glauca (white spruce)
Lineage: Eukaryota; Viridiplantae; Streptophyta; Pinopsida; Pinales; Pinaceae
Source: Rfam
ACAUGCCUACAACAUAGUGUUAAUGCAUCGGAUCCCAUUAGAACUCUGCAAUUAAACACACUAAGGAUAGAGUAUUAUUGGGAUGGGUAACUGCCUAGGAAGCCCUAGUGUUUUACAUGCC